Molecule: ribosomal RNA, 510 nt
Filed under: Bacillus sp. AKB-B1-4
Lineage: Bacteria; Bacillati; Bacillota; Bacilli; Caryophanales; Bacillaceae
Description: bacterial SSU rRNA
Rfam family: Bacterial small subunit ribosomal RNA
Source: RNAcentral
UUUAGAGUUUGAUCCCUGGCUCAGGACGAACGCUGGCGGCGUGCCUAAUACAUGCAAGUCGAGCGGACUGAUGGGAGCUUGCUCCCUGAUGUUAGCGGCGGACGGGUGAGUAACACGUGGGCAACCUACCUGUAAGACUGGGAUAACUCCGGGAAACCGGGGCUAAUACCGGAUAACCCGUUCCUCCUCAUGGAGGGACGGUAAAAGAUGGCUUCUUGCUAUCACUUACAGAUGGGCCCGCGGCGCAUUAGCUAGUUGGUAAGGUAAUGGCUUACCAAGGCGACGAUGCGUAGCCGACCUGAGAGGGUGAUCGGCCACACUGGGACUGAGACACGGCCCAGACUCCUACGGGAGGCAGCAGUAGGGAAUCUUCCGCAAUGGACGAAAGUCUGACGGAGCAACGCCGCGUGAGUGAUGAAGGUUUUCGGAUCGUAAAGCUCUGUUGUUAGGGAAGAACAAGUGCCGUUCGAAUAGGGCGGCACCUAGACGGUACCUAACCAGAAAGCCACG